Molecule: long non-coding RNA, 380 nt
Organism: Cynara cardunculus var. scolymus (artichoke)
Lineage: Eukaryota; Viridiplantae; Streptophyta; Magnoliopsida; Asterales; Asteraceae
Exons: 2
Source: RefSeq, a predicted model, not a curated record
GUCCACACUUCGUUACAUCGUUCGCCCAACAGAUCAUCGGAGGAAAAGCGGGGGAGAUCACAGGAAGUUUGAAACAAGAUGCGUGCCAAGUGGAAGAAGAAGCGAAUGAGGAGACUAAAGAGGAAGCGCCGAAAGAUGAGACAAAGAUCCAAGUAGAGAAAAUUAGCUUUAGACUGUAAGCUGGCUUCUUCCAAUCUUUCUUCAUGCAUAUCAUCUUUUGCAUAGGCAUGGAGUUUGAUUGAUCUUUGGGUCCAAGCUGUAUAUGGUCUAGUUAGUUUCUUAUAUUGUUACUAUCAUUUUGAAUCGCCACAUGUUCUUCAUGCAAUGCUUAAUUUACUGAUAUUUUUAGUUUCUAUGUUUUCUUUAUAUCCUACCAUAUC